This 423-nucleotide ribosomal RNA is filed under the name uncultured bacterium. Its description in RNAcentral is "bacterial SSU rRNA". It matches the Rfam family "Bacterial small subunit ribosomal RNA", at positions 28 to 457 of the family's 1533-position model. The record is from RNAcentral.
GACGAACGCUGGCGGCGUGCCUAACACAUGCAAGUCGAACGGAGCUCCUUCGGGGGCUUAGUGGCGAACGGGUGAGUAACGCGUGAGAAACCUGCCUUUCAGUGUGGGAUAGCGGUUGGAAACGACCGGUAAUACCGCAUAAUGUAUUUUAGGGGCAUCCCUUUAAUACCAAAGAUUUAUUGCUGAAAGAUGGUCUCGCGUCUGAUUAGCUAGAUGGCGGGUAACGGCCACCAUGGCGACGAUCAGUAGCCGGUCUGAGAGGAUGAACGGCCACAUUGGGACUGAGAUACGGCCCAGACUCCUACGGGAGGCAGCAGUGGGGAAUAUUGGGCAAUGGGGGAAACCCUGACCCAGCAAACGCCGCGUGAAGGAAGAAAGGCCUUCGGUUGGUAACGUUACUUUACUACGGUACGAACGACAAUA